UACGUAGGGUGCAAGCGUUGUCCGGAAUUAUUGGGCGUAAAGGGCUCGUAGGCGGUCCGUCACGUCGGGAGUGAAAACUUGGGGCUUAACCCCAAGCCUGCUUCCGAUACGGGCGGACUAGAGGUAGGCAGGGGAGAACGGAAUUCCUGGUGUAGCGGUGAAAUGCGCAGAUAUCAGGAGGAACACCGGUGGCGAAGGCGGUUCUCUGGGCCUUACCUGACGCUGAGGAGCGAAAGCAUGGGGAGCGAACAGG
Molecule: ribosomal RNA, 253 nt
Filed under: uncultured bacterium
Lineage: Bacteria
Description: partial 16S ribosomal RNA
Rfam family: Bacterial small subunit ribosomal RNA
Source: RNAcentral